CCUACGGGAGGCAGCAGUGAGGAAUAUUGGUCAAUGGGCGGAAGCCUGAACCAGCCAAGUAGCGUGCGGGAUGAAGGCCCUACGGGUCGUAAACCGCUUUUGCACGGGGAUAAAACCCUCCACGUGUCGAGUUCUGCAGGUACCAGGCAAAAAAGGCCCGGCAAAUUCCGUGCCAGAAGCCGCGGUAACACGGAGGGCCCGGGCGUCUUCCGGAUUCAUGGGGGUUAAAGGGUGCGUAGGCGGGCCUUCAAGCCAGCGGUAAAAUCGGGGGGCUCAACGGCGCCCCGCAGUUGAAACUGGAAGCCUUGAGUUCGCAACAGGCAGGCGGAAUUCGUGGUGUAGCGGUGAAAUGCAUAGAUAUCACGAGGAACCCCGAUUGCGAAGGCAGCCUGCCGGGGUGCGACUGACGCUGAGGCUCGAAGGUGCGGGUAUCAAACAGGAUUAGAUACCCGAGUAGUC
Molecule: ribosomal RNA, 459 nt
Filed under: uncultured bacterium
Lineage: Bacteria
Description: partial 16S ribosomal RNA
Rfam family: Bacterial small subunit ribosomal RNA
Source: RNAcentral